AGUCUUGUUGCACUGUCGCCCAGGCUGGAGUGAGGUGGAGCAAUCUCGGCUCACUGAAACUUCCGCCUCCCAGGUUCAAGCGAUUCUCCUGCCUUAGUUUCCCAAGUAGCUGGGAUUAUAGGUGCCCACCACUAUGCCCAGCUAAUUUUUUAUUUUUAUUUUUAGUAGAGACGGGGUUUCAGCAAGUAGGCCAGGAUGGUCUUGAACUUCUGACUUCGUGAUUCACCCGCCUUGGCCUCCCAAAGUGCUGGGAUUACAGGCAUAAGGCACUGUGCCUGGACAGCAGGGUACCUUCUACUGGAUCAGAACAUACAGGGACAAAACAGCCACCUCGUCUGGAAAAGUAGGAAUACUGCGCCAUUUUGGAAAACAAAGAUAAUUCAACCACUGCCAUUAGAACAAGCAGGUUUUGUGGAUUGAAGAGUACAGAUGUGUGCAGCAACAGUUUUGUCAGGCGCAGCAGUUAUAAGUCAUGUUCUGGCUUUGCAUCCUAGAAUUGAUAUCAAGUUUUCAUACAUAUUUGUUCCAUAUGAGACUUCCAAAAAAAUUCAGGAGUGCCAGUUCCAAGGGAGAUGAAGGAGUCCUGUGGGUGAUCAUGUUGACAGGAGGACUAACAAAAAUAUGUGAAAAGAAUCUUGGAUUUUCAGCUGGGAAACCUAGAAGAGAUCAUAGCCAGAGACUAUGCAUCACAUGCUGCCUUUGA
Molecule: long non-coding RNA, 703 nt
Filed under: Callithrix jacchus (white-tufted-ear marmoset)
Lineage: Eukaryota; Metazoa; Chordata; Mammalia; Primates; Cebidae
Description: lncRNA (ENSCJAG00000072613.1)
Source: RNAcentral